This 769-nucleotide ribosomal RNA is filed under the name uncultured bacterium. Its description in RNAcentral is "bacterial SSU rRNA". It matches the Rfam family "Bacterial small subunit ribosomal RNA", at positions 50 to 863 of the family's 1533-position model. The record is from RNAcentral.
UACACAUGCAAGUCGUACGAGAGUUUUUAACUCUAGUGGCGGACGGGUGAGUAACACGUGAGAAUUUGCCUUUAGGAGGGGGACAACAAUCGGAAACGAAUGCUAAUACCCCAUAUGCUUUCGAGUGAAAUGGAUUUUAUCCGCCUAGAGAGAAGCUCGCGGCUGAUUAGCUUGUUGGUAAGGUAAGAGCUUACCAAGGCGACGAUCAGUAUCUGGUUUGAGAGGACGAUCAGACACACUGGAACUGAGACACGGUCCAGACUCCUACGGGAGGCAGCAGUGGGGAAUUUUCCGCAAUGGGCGAAAGCCUGCCGGAGCAAUACCGCGUGAGGGAAGAAUGCCUAUGGGUUGUAAACCUCUUUUUUCAGGGAGGAAUCAAAUGACGUGUACCUGAAGAAUAAGCAUCGGCUAACUCCGUGCCAGCAGCCGCGGUAAGACGGGGGAUGCAAGUGUUAUCCGGAAUCACUGGGCGUAAAGCGUCUGUAGGUGGUUUAAUAAGUCAACUGUUAAAUCUUGAUGGCUCAACUUCAAAAUCGCAGUCGAAACUAUUAGACUAGAGUAUAGUAGAGGUAAAGGGAAUUUCCAGUGGAGCGGUGAAAUGCGUAGAUAUUGGAAAGAACACCGAUGGCGAAAGCACUUUACUGGGCUAUUACUAACACUCAGAGACGAAAGCUAGGGUAGCAAAUGGGAUUAGAUACCCAGUAGUCUAGCUGUAACAAUGGAUCUAGAUGUUGACAGAUCGACUGUGCAGUAUCAAGCUACGCGUUAG